This 440-nucleotide ribosomal RNA is filed under the name uncultured bacterium. RNAcentral's name for it is "partial 16S ribosomal RNA". It matches the Rfam family "Bacterial small subunit ribosomal RNA", at positions 338 to 795 of the family's 1533-position model. The record is from RNAcentral.
CCUACGGGUGGCAGCAGUGGGGAAUAUUGCACAAUGGGGGAAACCCUGAUGCAGCGAAGCCGCGUGAAGGAAGAAGUAUUUCGGUAUGUAAACUUCUAUCAGCAGGGAAGAAAGUGACGGUACCUGACUCAGAAGCCCCGGCUAACUACGUGCCAGCAGCCGCGGUAAUACGUAGGGGGCAAGCGUUAUCCGGAUUUACUGGGGGUAAAGGGGGCGUAGGCGGGGAUGCAAGUCAGAAGUGAAAGCCCGGGGGUCAAAUCCGGGACUGCUUUUGAAACUGUAUGGCUAGAUUGCAGGAGAGGCAUGUGGAAUUCGUAGUGUAGCGGUGAAAUGCGUAGAUAUUAGGCGGAACACCAGUGGCGAAGGCGGCAUGCUGGACUGUAAAUGACGCUGAGGCUCGAAAGCGUGGGGAGCGAGCAGGAUUAGAUACCCUUGUAGUC